UUAAAGCCCCAAAAUCAUCGCCUCUGUGCUUUAUCUGAAAAUUUUCAAAAACUUCCCUCUACCCUUCGUUACAGAUAAAAGGAGACUCGUACAAGAUCAUAUACACACAGGUCUCCCCUUCCGUCACUCUUCAACCACCCGCAUUUCAAAAUUCAACAUGGGGACCUAUAGGAACCGAGUCGGUGAAUGUUGCCGUCUGAGGAAGCUAGUUUCGAUCUCUGCCUUCGAAUCGAAAGCUCAUGGCCGCACCAUCUUCCGCUGUCCUCUGCGACCUUGCCAUCACAUUGAGCCGCCUCUAUCGUGGACUGGGUUUACAGAAUCUGUUCCCUCAAGGUCCUAAUGGUUUAAUUUUGGAUUUCGAUAAUUUGAAUUUUUAGACUUGACCAGUAUGCUAGCAACUCAGUACUGUUCUUCCUUAGAAAUAAAGAACCGCUCGUGAACUUGUGUCUGGAUGACUGCUAGCGUGCAAUUUGUGACCUGUUUCUGGUAAUUUUCAGCUUUUGUUCUCAGAAUUUUGUUGUUAUUUGAAUAAUUGUUGCUUAGCUCCAGAAAUUGCCCUUCCUUUGAGCCCAUCGACUUCAAUUUGAGUAGAAGCGUGUUGUGAAGAUAAAAGCAGGAGGAAAGGGCAACAAAGUGUUUGCUGAAAUGUCUACAUGCUUGAUUUGUUAUUUCAUACUUGAGCUCCAAUUGGCAUAAACAAUAUCCAAUUGACAAUGGAAUAUAUCUUUAUCAGGGUUAAAAUAUUUCCAUCAACGAAUAUGCUCGUAUACAGCUCGAGAAAUGUAGAUCUUCCGUUGUGGUCACGAGUAUCUAAGGGUCAUGGAUUAUGUUUCUACACGGUUGAAAAAUGGUAUGAUAUAGUACGGUUAUGGUCACAUAAAUGGCUUUCAGUUUCAGGUACUCGGAAGUGGCCGCUAUGAGGUCUAUUUAGAAGAAAAGCCUUGUUAAAUGUGUCUCAACUGAGUUGAACAAAGACAAGUAGUGAAAUCAACGAGGUACGCCAAGUGCAUUUUAGUUCUCUAUUUCCUUUUAAUUUAAUUUAAUAUCUUCAAGUCCUAAGACUCUUUUGGCCUGUGGAAUGAUCAUUGAUAAGAUUCUUCAAUGCCUAAUUAUUGAUAAUUGUAGUUCUUCCAGCUCAUUCAUAAUUAUGUUAUUAAUUUUUGCAUAUACUUUUAAUGUGACCAUUGCCAAUGGGGAAGACUACACGGUUUGCACCUGGCGUAUUGUAUAACUGUCAAUUAAAUCACAUGUAUAAGUUCCCGGUAAGAUAGCAGCUUAGUUUAAUAGAACGUUUUGUUUUCUGGCUACAGCAGCACAUUGCUUCUGAAAUGUACUUAUGCUUCAACAUAGGAAUCUAAUUUUCUCAUUCUCGUAUGGGAGCUUACACCAAGAUCACGUCUUUAUUACUCCAACUAGUAUUUGAGGACAAGGUAAGGUGCUGCUUGAAGAAUGGUAUUUAGUGGACAACUUCUAUGUACGGAUUGCAAACAUGUCUGAUUUUAAUAUAUCUUUGCAUGGCAGAAUGGAAAAAAAAAAAAAGAUUGGAUCAUUCUUGAUGUAUCUUUUUUAAUGGUUAGCAUGAUUGUGAAUUUUUUCAAUUGUACAAAGACUACAUCUGCAUUCUCUAUUUGAUACUUCUCUCUCUUUUAGUUUUUGGUUUUCAGGUCUAGUAAUUAAGAGAAUUUCUACCAAGGGUGGUGAUGAUCCUAUUGAGGGCAUAAAUAGACAAUAGCUGUUAAGGGAGGAUAAUGAGGAGGAAACUUCUGCUGAUUGGAAAAUUCGUUAAAGUAUUGGAAUCAUUCAUAUUUGAUGGAUGCAAACUUUGGUGGAUGUUUUUAUUAGAUGUAGUUUGUAGUCAAACAGUUGAUUUGAUUUUGAAGGAUAUAUGAUCAGUCUUUUAUCUGGCU
Molecule: non-coding RNA, 1907 nt
Organism: Punica granatum (pomegranate)
Lineage: Eukaryota; Viridiplantae; Streptophyta; Magnoliopsida; Myrtales; Lythraceae
Source: RefSeq, a predicted model, not a curated record